GCGACAAAUAUUACGUCUAUAGAAUAUACGCGCGCAAUAGAAAGGCAUACGUAUCAUUACCUCUGAGUAUAAUCUGAAAAUAUAUGCAUGCGAUGAAAAAGCGUAUGUACUGCUGCGUAAAUCUUGAGAAUAUACGCGCGCGAAAGAAAACCAAAUGAUACUGUCAGUGAUGUUCUAGCGUGGAUCUCAGUACAGAUAAUCACAAACAGUACGAAAAUGAGAUGAUUCGCAGUAGUGGGAUGUCGCGUGCUGUUAGGGAUAUUAGCAAAUUAUACCUUCAGUACUCAUAUAAGUUAUUAUAUUUUUUAAUACUUUUUUUGUUAAUAAUUUUUUAAUAAAGAGCGAGCGACGGCUAAAACCUUUUGAAUGUUAUUCAGGAUGAUGAUCUUGAUAACAUACAUCAAAGUCAAAGUCAUCGAGGCAGACUCCCCUCAUCGGUAUAUUUAUCCUUAUAUUUCGAAGUUUUGUUAAUAACUUUAAUAAAUAACGAGCGACGACUAAAAUCUCUUAAGAAUUAUUCAGGAUUUUGACCUUGAUAACAUAUGUCAAGGUCAAAAUCAUAACACUGGUCUUCAUUAUUGUAAAGUUUUAUUUAACAUUUUUACUAUUUCACUAUAAAAAAUAGUUUUCCUAUGCUAGUUGUCAAAAAUCCUUUCAGGAGCUUUCAUUUUGAUUCAAAGGUAACUUUCCACAAAAUUUCAUCGAAAUCGGAGGUAUGUCGUUUUCGGAACUCCAUCCUAUAUUUGUUUUAUAUAUUCAACUCUGACAAUUUUACACAACCUAAAUAAAUAUGACAUUCUCCGUUUCUGACAAUUCUCAACAAUUUUCCAAAUAACAGAAACACUCGUGAAAUCGAGCACAAACAAAUCAUAUUUUACUCUUCGACGAUGAUGAAUAUAUUUAACUAGCACAAGAUUUAUUUACAACUCGCUUCACCCAAGUAGGAAACUCUUCCUUAUAUAAGAUACGCUCAGCGAAAAGCUAUUGCUCAUUGGAUCGUAGACCAUCCAGCUACAAAAUACAUUCGACAUGCGUGGAAACUUGCUGUGUCUUCUAUUGUUAUUUGUCGUUCUGAAGAAAGCCUCCGUAAAAUCUUGUAAAUACUGGUGCAGAAUGAACGAUCAUCGCUAUUACUGUUGUCCGAGCGGAAAAAGCGACUCCUCGUCGCGAUACGACUGGCAUUCGUUCUUUUUUCCUUGGUUGUGGCUUGGCAUUACCACCGAGCCACGUGUCGAACGACCUUGGUACGAACUCAUGAUAAAAUGGAAACCGAAAAAGCAUUGUCCACCCUUGAGGGCUUAUUGUCCUAGAAUUUAUGAAUGGUACAAACCACCUGACCCUUGCAACGAUGAUCACGAAUGCGAGGAAUGGCAAAAGUGUUGUUAUGAUGUAUGCCUGGAACAUAAGACGUGUAAGAAUGCGGAAUAAAUGUCCCUUUGUGAUUUCUAGAUGAAGCUUUGAGAUAAUACUCUUUUACCGUAUUCAAACAAUUUUACUUUUAUUUCAAUAUUAUUUUUAUUAUUUAUAUUAACGCACUGAUGACGACAUGUUCUUAUACCUUCGUCAAACUCUCGUAUAAUCAAGAGUGAUAUAAAAUAUUGUCCAAACUGA
Long non-coding RNA from Pogonomyrmex barbatus (red harvester ant), 1611 nucleotides. The record is from RefSeq and is a predicted model, not a curated record. NCBI's taxonomy places the organism in Eukaryota, Metazoa, Arthropoda, Insecta, Hymenoptera, Formicidae.